RNAcentral lists this long non-coding RNA (208 nucleotides) under Cyanistes caeruleus (blue tit). RNAcentral's name for it is "lncRNA (ENSCCEG00000023478.1)". The record is from RNAcentral. Lineage: Eukaryota; Metazoa; Chordata; Aves; Passeriformes; Paridae.
AAUUUGCUCUGCUUUUGAAAACAAGAAGAUGGAAGAAGCAAAGAAAGGUCAAAUUCAAGGCUCUGACAGAAAAAUGAAGACAUUAGUGCUUUCAGAGGUAUCAUGGACAUAUACACAAGUGGACACUCACACAAAUUCCUAUCUCAUGGAAAUGAUGGUGAAGAAAGAAGAGAUAAUGUGCAUGAUUAUCUGUUGUGGAAACACCUAA